UCUACGUCCACCUGGGACAGAGCCAGGCCAGACCAGCCAGCCACAACAGCACUGCCACUACCCACAACAAACAGCCUGAGGCCAAGAAGGAAGCAGAAGAGGGAAGCAGCAAGGUUAAGAAAAUCUGCCUUACGGCCUCCUCUAAGACCGCGGCGGGAGCAACGGCAGCAGGAGGAGCUGCGUGUGACAGGAUUAAGAGUAGACCAUCCCUCAACAGAGCCAGAGGAGCGCCUGCCUCAGCCUCCCAGGCUCUCCCUCCAGCAGCCAGGCUGAGCCAGGGAAGAGAUGUCUGCAGCAGUGCCUCCGGAGGUCAUCCGAGGUCCCAGACAGAGGUUGGAACCUCCUCAGCCAACAGCAGCACUAAGCCCAGAGUCACUG
This is a long non-coding RNA of Coregonus clupeaformis (lake whitefish), 378 nucleotides long. RefSeq lists it as uncharacterized. The transcript has 3 exons. The record is from RefSeq and is a predicted model, not a curated record. Lineage: Eukaryota; Metazoa; Chordata; Actinopteri; Salmoniformes; Salmonidae.